RNAcentral lists this unclassified non-coding RNA (416 nucleotides) under uncultured Sebacina. RNAcentral's name for it is "sequence contains ITS2". The stretch from base 1 to 154 matches the Rfam family "5.8S ribosomal RNA". Lineage: Eukaryota; Fungi; Basidiomycota; Agaricomycetes; Sebacinales; Sebacinaceae. The record is from RNAcentral.
AACUUUCAACAACGGAUCUCUUGGCUCUCGCAUCGAUGAAGAACGCAGCGAAAUGCGAUAAUUAAUGUGAAUUGCAGAAUUCAGUGAAUCAUCGAAUCUUUGAACGCACCUUUCACCCUUUGGCAUUCCGAAGGGUAUGCUCGUUUGAGUGUCAUUGUACUCUCACACUCCCGAUGCUGUUGGAGCGCGAGUGGUUGACUUGGGCGUGGCUGCUUGACUGUUGCUCGACUCAAAUGGAGUAGUGCAACUCUUGGUCGGACAUAGUACGGCGUGAUAAGUGUCUUCGCCGGCGCCUCACUAGAGGGUGGCUGAUCGGGAGCUCUGUGCUUCAAACCGUCUUAGGACAACACUGACAACUUGACCUCAAUUCGACUAGGACUACACGCUGAACUUAAGCAUAUCAAUCAGCGGAGGCU